GGCGAGACGCCGCGGGAAAAGCGGUCCUGUUAGGUGGUCAAGGUGGUUUGGGGCUGAGGUCGUCUCCUCAAGAGUAACCGCGGGCCUGUGCUACGGUCACGCCACCGGCCUUCGUUUCCUUUAGCCUUCUCUCUCACCAAACGAUUUUCCUGUCCAUUUAUAAAGUGCAAGUUGUUUCCCCAAGGUUCCAGCAUUUCUUCAUCGGUGGUUGUUCAGCAUUUAGUUGUGACCCUAGUAUUUCCAUCAGAAGAGGAAGUGCAUUUUGGAUCAACACCUGUGGGUGAUGAGCUGUACUGCAUCCCAACAAAGACCUCAGCCAACCCCAUAGCUGAGAUGGAGCAAUAGAGACCAGAUGUACCCUUCCCAGCUGAAACAACUAAAAAGACAAGACAAAAUGUAUUAAAGAAUGGUUCUUGAGACACUGGACACUACACGGUGAAGAACAGUGAUCCCUGAGAGAUGAGAAACAAAUAAGAUCUUGGAAUGCUCCAGUCUUUUUGCAAAGUCGAUGAGUGGCUUCAGCACUGGGGAAGAAGCCCGAAAGGUGACCAGAUGGAACCUGCAUUCACAGUCUUCAAAGUUCCCUUUUGAAACAUAAGGAAGAGAAUGAAGGGGAGAAGGAUUUCACACUUUCGGGCUUACAAUCUGAAGGUGUCCGUUCCUACACUGGUCAGACCACUGUCCUUGGGGCAGCUGGGGUCUUUGGGACCCUCCACCGGGCUCGCCGGUCCGUCGGACUUUUGGCUGAGAUCCGUGUCAGACUCCUCCGAAUAGUCGUCUGUUGGCAUCGAGGGCUGAACCCCUGAGGUGCUGCAUGAACUUGAGAGCGCGCUCUCGCACGCCAGGCAGUGGUACGAGCCGCCGCCGCCGCCGCCGCCGCCGCCGCCGCCCGUGGGGACGUGAAGCACCAUCUCUUGCAGGUUCACCACAGACUGGCCGAAGAAGCAGAGGGACUUCAGGUGGCUCCUCGCCGCCGCCUCGUCACUGAAGCCCGCCUGGCACUUGCGGCAGACCAACUUGUACUGCACCUUUGGAACAAUGAAGGGGUCGUGGAGGGAGUCCGCACUUUUGCUUUCUGCUUCUGGCUCU
Delphinapterus leucas (beluga whale) is the source of this 1089-nucleotide non-coding RNA. NCBI's taxonomy places the organism in Eukaryota, Metazoa, Chordata, Mammalia, Artiodactyla, Monodontidae. The record is from RefSeq and is a predicted model, not a curated record.